RNAcentral lists this long non-coding RNA (420 nucleotides) under Rattus norvegicus (Norway rat). RNAcentral's name for it is "long non-coding RNA NONRATT023464". Lineage: Eukaryota; Metazoa; Chordata; Mammalia; Rodentia; Muridae. The record is from RNAcentral.
AUUAUGUCAAGUUGACAAAAGCUCAACACACCUUCCAAAUCUAUACGCUUUAAAGUCUACAUCUACUUUUCCUGCCUUCACUCAUUUAACUAUGAAAUAAGUUUCUAUAGCCAGGUUAGGCCAGUCCCCACCCAAAGCAAGGCUUCAUAGGACAGUAUCAUCCUAUUUUGGGAUAUGAAAACAGCUCUAGAAAUGAGACUCAACAGCUCAGCUCCUGAGUCAAAAACUCCUGUAACACAAGGCUGCCGUUGGCAGUUAGCACUCUGUCCUCAUACACUCGGCCUUCAAGGUUCUGUGCUCACAUCAUUUUUCACUAAGGCGCAUUUUCUAAUUCCUGCUCUUCUUUCUGGUCAUAAUCCCAAUGUUGCUUCCUCUAGAAAGCCCAGACCAUAUGCUCUAUGCUGUCAGUUUCUGUGUGUU